CAAAAAUCUGCAAUUGGCAUUUCCCAUGUGAUGCUGCGUGUUGAGGGCUCAUCUGCUUCUCGUCCAGGACGACAUUUCCAGCUUCAUCUUUGAUCUUAACCCUCCCGGAGGCAUACUUGGUUUCCUGACAGCCGCUGCAAUACACAGUCUUGACGGUGCCAUCCGGGUACUCCCUCCUCUUGAACCGGGCUGUGUGGAUUUCUUUCUGCCCGUUGCUGAGCACAAUGGUUUUGUCGCCGUUCCUGAGAGGAGAAACACAUGGGAUGAAUAACAGUGAUUUUCACCUUGUACUGGAGACAGAACCCUUGGACGCUGAGGAACUCACUGUGGAGCCUGCUGAAAUACUGCUGCACUGCUUCUAUUUCAUUACAGGAACAGGAAGGUGAUUACAGUGCCUGCAUGUGGGGUGCAUUCACAGCUGCUUGAUGUGUUU
This 433-nucleotide long non-coding RNA is filed under the name Homo sapiens (human). RNAcentral describes it as "HSALNT0338503". The record is from RNAcentral. Lineage: Eukaryota; Metazoa; Chordata; Mammalia; Primates; Hominidae.